UGAGAGGGGUUAACGUUCAAGAUGACGUCAUCCUACACCCUUCUUGUCGCGCGCUGAAUUGAGUGAGGUAGUUCACAAGCAGCUCAUAGGGCGCAGCAAUGGCAGCUGCAACCCUUAUCUGUCCCAAGCCCCACUCUUCUUCCUUCGCGAGUAUUCUUGCUGGGCCCUUGUGCCCUUCCGAAGGACAUAUUGCCUCUGUUUCCCUGAACUCGUCUUCUACCCGUAGCCUCGUCGGUCGCAGAAUAAGAGCAGUGUCCUUAAACGAAAUCCCCCCCAAUGCUCUUCGCCGGAAGCGCGACCCUCUCUGGAGAGGAGGGUUCAGUCUUGGGGUAGACCUGGGAUCGUCCCGCACUGGCCUUGCCCUUAGCAAGGGCUUCUCAAUUCGUCCCCUAACGGUACUGGAGUUGCGAGGCCAGAAGCUUGAGCUUCGUCUGCUUGAAAUUGCAGAACAGAAGGAAGCUGACGAAUUUAUAAUAGGGCUACCUAAAUCCUCUGAUGGAAAGGAGACGCCCCAAUCCAACAUAGUUCGUAGUGUGGCGGGUAGGCUUGCGGUUCGAGCUGCCCAGAGGGGCUGGAGAGUAUACCUGCUGGAUGAACAUGGGACAUCAACGGAUGCCUCUGGCUAUAUGAUUGAAAUGGGCCUCAGCAAGUCUGCUCGCCAAGGGGAACUAGAUGCCUAUGCUGCCAUGAUGGUACUGGAGAGAUACUUCUCCAUGUCAGGUCAUGGAACUGAAAUUGUUUGGCCCAAGCAGUUGGAACUCCAGGAAAUGGUUCGCAGGGGUCCACCCAUGGAUGUGGAUUUCUUCCCAGAAAAACUCAAGGCAUAGGAAUUUACUUCCCGUGCCAUCAGCAAGAUUCUGAAGUGUACUGCAAUUCUAGUCUUAUUCAUGGUUGAGUGAAUGCACUCUCUAUUGUUGGGUAAUUAUUUGGGGAUCCUGCCAGGGGUUGAUUCAUUCGAGAGGGCAGCCUUUUAUAUUUUGGACCUUCUAGUGGUUUGUACAAUUGCUGCGCCCCAAGCUCAAUUUGCGUUUUUGGUAGAACAUUUGUAAGUUGCAUCAUCUUUUAGGGCAUGUAUCCCCUGGCCAUUAACCCUUGAACCCCAAGCCUCACCAGCACUCACCAAGACAAGAACAUCAAGCCGGAUCUCCUUGGAGAGAUUGUUGACAGGUUAAAAAACGAAAUUAUGGCUCUAUUUAUUUAUUUUGGUUCUCCAUCUAGGUUCUAUUAUAUAUAUAUAUAUAUUCAUGACUU
Molecule: RNA transcript, 1251 nt
Organism: Malania oleifera
Lineage: Eukaryota; Viridiplantae; Streptophyta; Magnoliopsida; Santalales; Ximeniaceae
Exons: 7
Source: RefSeq, a predicted model, not a curated record